CAACACUUAUACUGUUACAAGGUGCCAUGUAAGAUGUGGAAACAGAAAUAGGGCCCCAUGGAGAUCCACUUUCAACAAAACUUGAAAGAAAAAACAAGCUGCCAUGAAUAGCCAGAACCCAAGGAAUGAGGUCAUCCUUCCCCUGGAAAUUCCCUUCCACAUCUACUGGGCUUUUGUGUCCACCUGGAUGAGAAGGGCCACAGAGUAAGUACCAGUUUCCUCCCUCACUCUGAAAAAAAUCAGAGUGGAGGGAGGAUUUUACAUUGGGGUAACACCUUCCAAAUACUUAAACAUCAGUUCACUUCACCCAUUCCAGGCACUCACUGAUUUGGUUUGGGUAAGGAGCUACAAUAAAGGCAGAAUGAACUAGAAGUUCACUUCACUAAGCUAAAUGCCUCCUAUAAUGUUGACGAAACACAGCCCCCAAUCUAUACCCAAAAACUGUCGGAUGGACACUUUCCUCUCAGUGUCUUUAAGCUGAGAUAUCUUUGAGAGAAGAACAAGAACAUGAGGAGGUACUUUCUGUUGAGUAGGGGAACGGAAACGUGUUUGCCUGCUAUCAGUCCUUUUAGUCACAGUGAUCUGGCUCCUAUCCAAGAAGGCCUGAACUUGCUGAGAAGCCUGAUUCCUGUUCCCAGUGCUUAGCCAAAUGAAAGACGGGGCUGACAGAAACAGUGGAGCAUGAGGCAUGGGUUAGCUUGGGAACACCAGCUGGGAACUGGUUAUUCCAACAUGGCUAGAGAUUCUUCUAGCAACAACUGUCAAAGAACGUGGAGCUAUAGAAAUUUAGUUUUUUAAAAAUUUCUUUUUUAGAAAGGACCUUUCAACCACAAUGUUCUUAAAUGUCUUUCAAGAAGAGAGUUGCUUCAAAGUAACAUUUAUUUAUUGCAUAUUCUCUCUCUCUGUGUGUGUGUGUGUGUGUGUGUGUGUGUGUUUGUGUGUGUGUGUGUGUGUGUGUGUGUGUGUGUGUGUGUGUCUGUCUGUCUGUCUGUCUGUCUGUCUGUCUGUCUGAGCAUGUGCAUGUAUCACCUUCUACCAGGUGGAACCUGGGAGUUGAACUUGGGUCAUCAGGCUUGGCAGCAGGCAAUCUGAUCUGCUGAGCCAUUUCACUGGCUCUUCAGAAGCACUUGAAACAUAAAACUAAAGACUGGUAUCACAGAAAGGAUCCUUUUUUUGGUUGGCUCUUGAAUUGUUUUUUUGGGGGGAUAUUGGGUCCCUGCACAUGCCAAGAAAAUACUGAAGUUACCCUCCAGUCUUUUUUUUUCUAAAUAGGGUCUCAUUAAAUUACCCAGGAGGGCCUUGAAUUUGAAAUUCUCCUACCUCAGCCUUCACAGUAGCUGAUAUUACAAGUUUGUACCACCAGGCCAGGCUUGCUGUUACAUGCUCACAUUCUACAGAGCUCACAAAGUUCCAAGAUACUGUGACAAAGGUGGAGUGGGAGCACAAUCUCCACUUCCUGGCUUUAAAUAGAGUGUAAUUUCCAUUAGGGAUCGUAGAAAAUACAAUUCCAAAUACCAGGCUUGUGGGUGAAAUGGACUAUAGGGAAAGUAUACCUUACAAUAAGGAAAGCAUGUUAUCCACGUCCUAUCUUGCAUUCCUGUCUUGCAUUCCGGUCUGCCAGACUCUGGAGCUGGGGACUUUUUGCAUUCUGCCUCUCAGAAGCAUUAUUGUCACUCCUGUGAUCUCUUGGUCCCCUCCUGUUGUAUUUGAGGAGGAAGCUGUAGAGUGAAUAAACUGUGUAGCACAAAAGCAUUAACCACGUGACUGCAAAGAAAGGCUCCCUCAGUUCCGAGCCUGCCAGGGCAGUCAGGAGCUUCUGUGGAAUCAAUCACUCUCCGUUGGUGGAGGGCGUCAUAUCCCCAACCAGUUCCUGCCCGGGCUGCAGAAGACAAAACAAAACUGUUCACCAGUGAUGGGAAAGAGACAUUUGGUGUUCUUGUUGGCUUCCUGGAUAAUUGUAAAGUGUUAUUGGCAUUCAAAGGAAACCUUCCUCAGAGAUCUACAAAUAAGGGAGGGUGACAGAAGGUGAGCCAAAGAAAAGAUUAGAGACCCCAAGAGAAACCCAGAGCAAAACCAUUAACAGAAGAAAAGAAAGCAAUUUUAAUUUACAAAAGAAAUAAGACACCCACCCCAGGAACUUAGAAAAGUAGCACACGAUGAAAUUGGGUGAGAUAGGAGCUCUUUAACUCAUCAUGGCUGGUGUUCGAAAUUCAAAGACGUGCUACUGCAAACUAUUUCUCAAAUUAGAAACUGACAGAGUAGGAGGCAGACUUUUUUAAAUGUCCAUAUUAGACACUUAAAAUACAGACAAUCUUUGUAGGCAGAAUUGGGAAACAAGAAAAGAUUAGAGAUAAUAGAGUUAUUAGCUUUGAAUGGUCAAAAAUUUUCUAGCAUAUGGAGUUGAUCUUUAUUAAGUUGCCUAGGAACACUAUCAAUACAAUAUUCAGGCUGCCCUUUGUGAAUCUUCUUUUUCCUUCUAGACAUGGUCUUGCUCCGCGGCCUAGGCUGACUUUGAAUUCACGAUUGUCUCGUCUCAGUCUCCCAAGCACUUGAAUUACAUGCUUAUGCCACCAUGCCUGACAUUGUGAAUUUUUUAAAUUAAAAAUAUAUUGCAUUUUA
This 2619-nucleotide long non-coding RNA is filed under the name Cricetulus griseus (Chinese hamster). Its description in RNAcentral is "lncRNA (ENSCGRG00015039207.1)". Lineage: Eukaryota; Metazoa; Chordata; Mammalia; Rodentia; Cricetidae. The record is from RNAcentral.